RNAcentral lists this ribosomal RNA (468 nucleotides) under uncultured bacterium. RNAcentral's name for it is "partial 16S ribosomal RNA". It matches the Rfam family "Bacterial small subunit ribosomal RNA", at positions 28 to 507 of the family's 1533-position model. The record is from RNAcentral.
GACGAACGCUGGCGGCGUGCUUAACACAUGCAAGUCGAACGGAAAGGCCCUGCUUUUGUGGGGUGCUCGAGUGGCGAACGGGUGAGUAACACGUGAGUAGCCUGCCCUUGACUUUGGGAUAACUUCAGGAAACUGGGGCUAAUACCGGAUAGGAGCUCCUGCUGCAAGGUGGGGGUUGGAAAGUUUCGGCGGUUGGGGAUGGACUCGCGGCUUAUCAGCUUGUUGGUGGGGUAGUGGCUUACCAAGGCUUUGACGGGUAGCCGGCCUGAGAGGGUGACCGGCCACAUUGGGACUGAGAUACGGCCCAGACUCCUACGGGAGGCAGCAGUGGGGAAUAUUGCACAAUGGGCGGAAGCCUGAUGCAGCAACGCCGCGUGCGGGAUGACGGCCUUCGGGUUGUAAACCGCUUUCGCCUGUGACGAAGCGUGAGUGACGGUAAUGGGUAAAGAAGCACCGGCUAACUACGUG